GUGCUUGCUUUGGCAGGACAUAUACUAAAAUUGGGAUGAUACGAAGGAGAUUAGUGUGGCCACUGCACAAGUAUAAUAUGCAAACUCAUGAAGCAUUCAUUAUUUUG
Molecule: small nuclear RNA, 107 nt
Organism: Suncus etruscus (white-toothed pygmy shrew)
Lineage: Eukaryota; Metazoa; Chordata; Mammalia; Eulipotyphla; Soricidae
Source: RefSeq, a predicted model, not a curated record